RNAcentral lists this long non-coding RNA (934 nucleotides) under Brachypodium distachyon (stiff brome). RNAcentral describes it as "long non-coding RNA (BDIS_LNC005115)". The record is from RNAcentral. Lineage: Eukaryota; Viridiplantae; Streptophyta; Magnoliopsida; Poales; Poaceae.
AAGAAGGCAAGAGAUGUCAUAGAGAGGCGAUGGUGGUGCAUCCCUCUGCGCUUGUUGCUGAGAGUGUUCCCACCAUCGCGAUCCUGCCACACCUCUUAUGAAAGGACACCAGAAAUGGCGAUGCAAGAAGCGAGAGGCGUCGGAAGAUGCGGUGGGGGUGCAUGCCUCCGCGUGUGCCGCUGGAGGGUGCACUGCCACCGCGUCCUUGCCAUGGCUCUCAACAAGGUGCUCCAAGAGCAAAGAGAACGGAAAGCUAAGUACUUUGUUUUGAGUCCUUGGUUCUUCCUUUAGUAACACUGGUUUGCCGAGGUAAGCUCAGUCCCCGUGUAGCCGGAGUGUAGGAAGGACACUUGCGGGGGGAGGACGCCCCCCACACAUGGCUCGCGGGUCUGUCCCGGAGGCAUGCACGUUGGGGUAUUUAACCUGCGGGCGGAGUGGCUAGCCGCUGUUGUUUGGCCCUAGGUCGGCACCGCGGGUCCGUCCCGGGUCCCUAGUCUGGCUAAGCACGUAGUUGGUGAGCCCCCGGAUACACAAGGUUAAAGCACGGGAAGGACAGAGCCUAUCCCCGACAAGCUGGUCAUAAGCGGAAAAGCAAAUAAAAUGGCAUUGGAUAAAAUAAAAUUUGAACAAAUGAGUUCACAAAUAGCAUUCGAAAUGAAAAAAAAAGGCUAACACAAAGAAGUUCUAAGGCGCCUUGCGCCACUUGCAGGAAAGUAAAAACAAAAAACGAGCAGAUAACUAUGCAGGAGGUGCUCCCGGGGCAGCUACGUCGGCGUCAGGUGCCCCCUCAACGCCGGGGGCUUCUCUUGCGGCCUCCUCAUCGACAGCUUCAGCUUCAUCGACCUUGCCCUGCAUCCGCGCCACCAUCUCGUCCACCACGCCCUGCACCGCUUCCCGGUGGGUCUUGACCUCUUCCUCGUCUAACCAGGCGUCG